GCAAGUCGAGGGGUAACAGGGAAGCUUGCUUCCGCUGACGACCGGCGCACGGGUGCGUAACGCGUAUAGAACCUACCUUUUACAGAGGGAUAGCCUUUAGAAAUGAAGAUUAAUACCUCAUAGUAUUAAGGAUUCGCAUGAAUCCUUAAUUAAAGAUUUAUCGGUAAAAGAUGGCUAUGCGUCCUAUUAGCUAGAUGGUAAGGUAACGGCUUACCAUGGCAACGAUAGAUAGGGGUUCUGAGAGGAUAGUC
This 251-nucleotide ribosomal RNA is filed under the name uncultured bacterium. RNAcentral's name for it is "partial 16S ribosomal RNA". It matches the Rfam family "Bacterial small subunit ribosomal RNA", at positions 57 to 305 of the family's 1533-position model. The record is from RNAcentral.